RNAcentral lists this long non-coding RNA (1193 nucleotides) under Monodelphis domestica (gray short-tailed opossum). Its description in RNAcentral is "lncRNA (ENSMODG00000033278.2)". The record is from RNAcentral. Lineage: Eukaryota; Metazoa; Chordata; Mammalia; Didelphimorphia; Didelphidae.
UUUCCUGCUUGCUUGCUUUUCUUGGGAGAUUCCUGGCAGUCUCUGAAAUUCGCCCUUUGGCUGAUAAGUAAUAUAAUUAGCUUCAUAGCUUUUGGGCAUAAGACUUGGGUUCAAAUGACUCUGAUGCUUCUUACCUGUGAGACUUUGGGCCUGGGGCUAAGCUCUCUGCCUCAGUUUCCUUUUCUGUAAAAUGGAAGGAUGGUACUAGACAAUCUCCAAGAGCCCAUCUGGCUGUAAAUUCUACUAUCCUCUCUAUAGGCAGCCACAAGUGGGAUGGAAAAGCCCUGAGACAAGAUGACACGUGCCAGCGGGAGGCUGGAAACCAAAUCAAACAAGUUUCAAUGGAGGCAGCUUGAGCAGAAUUGAAGCUGCUGUGAUCUUGACCCUGUUUUCUGCCUGCUUCUCUCUCUUCUCCCCCAGAACCUUGGGCGUAAGAGGACGACGCAGGCUCAUAUGCACUUCAGUAACACCAAUUUCAAUAGCUGGGCAUGUGACUACGUACCCAGCCCCAGCGACUGCAUAAGCACUUACACAGAGUCGUACGUGGCCAAGCCCACCCCGCCAGCCUCGUGCUUUGGGCACUACCCGAGACAUCACUCUGAACGGUGGAAGACUUAUUCGACUUAAGGACGGACGCACCGCACGGAGACAACUUGAAGGAAAGGAUGCUGUGAAGCCUUGCGGAUUCCCCUUCAAAGCGCCAACCUCGGGAGGUUUUCUUGCCCUUUUAUGUAAGGAAGGGGACAAUAAAAGAGGAUCCUUUGAAUUUAGCACGUUUGCAAACAAGUAGGACUAGAAGGUGACCCCUCAGGAGCCUCAGUUUCCCAGUAAUCAUUUUGAUCUGUGGAGUCUGCUGUCCCCUCAGAUCUGGAGGGGAACCUGAAUUCUGGGAUCUUUUGGUUUGCGCCUCAGUGUACGUACGAGCAACAUGGAAGCCCUCGAAGGGAGAAUUUUUCUUUAGAAAGGCACUAUUUCACACGGCUUGUCGGCAUGUAUUGUACAGUGGAAUUCUUAGUUCAAUAAAGAAAAGCUUGCUUAUCAAAAUGGACUCCCACAUGGUGAAAGUUACCAGCCUUAAAGAUCCAGAGCCCCCUCGUCUCUACAAGAAGAUCACAAGCAUUCAAACUCGCGCCUGCUUGGGAGGACACAUGGGUUUCCCACUCUUGACAGAGAGUGAGGCCAAGUCUCUCCUC